UACGUAGGGCGCAAGCGUUAUCCGGAAUUAUUGGGCGUAAAGAGCUCGUAGGCGGUUUGUCGCGUCUGCCGUGAAAGUCCGGGGCUCAACUCCGGAUCUGCGGUGGGUACGGGCAGACUAGAGUGAUGUAGGGGAGACUGGAAUUCCCGGUGUAGUGGUGAAAUGCGUAGAGAUCGGGAGGAACACCAGUGGCGAAGGCGGCUCGCUGGGCAGUGGCUGACGCUGAGGCGCGACAGCGUGGGGAGCAAACAGG
RNAcentral lists this ribosomal RNA (253 nucleotides) under uncultured bacterium. RNAcentral's name for it is "partial 16S ribosomal RNA". It matches the Rfam family "Bacterial small subunit ribosomal RNA", at positions 524 to 776 of the family's 1533-position model. The record is from RNAcentral.